GAUGAAGAACGCAGCGAAAUGCGAUACGUAAUGUGAAUUGCAGAAUUCAGUGAAUCAUCGAGUCUUUGAAUGCACAUUGCGCCCCCUGGUAUUCCGGGGGGCAUGCCUGUCCGAGCGUCAUUGCUGCCCUCAAGCACGGCUUGUGUGUUGGGCCUCCGUCCUCCUCCCGGGGGACGGGCCCGAAAGGCAGCGGCGGCACCGCGUCCGGUCCUCGAGCGUAUGGGGCUUCGUCACCCGCUCUUGUAGGCCCGGCCGGCGCUUGCCGACACAUCAAUCUUUUUUCCAGGUUGACCUCGGAUCAGGUAGGGAUACCCGCUGAACUUAAGCAUAUCAAUAAGCGGAGGA
Molecule: unclassified non-coding RNA, 345 nt
Filed under: soil metagenome
Description: partial contains 5.8S ribosomal RNA, internal transcribed spacer 2, and large subunit ribosomal RNA
Rfam family: 5.8S ribosomal RNA (bases 1-120)
Source: RNAcentral